This 981-nucleotide long non-coding RNA is filed under the name Physcomitrium patens. RNAcentral describes it as "long non-coding RNA (PPAT_LNC014620)". The record is from RNAcentral. Lineage: Eukaryota; Viridiplantae; Streptophyta; Bryopsida; Funariales; Funariaceae.
AAAACUCAUCUAUUCAAAUCCUAAUUCAUCCAAUUCAGCUUCUCAUUCAAUUUGAGAUUGUUUAUCAAAUCUAAAAUUUAUUCAAUUCAUAAAAUAUAAAUGUUUUCUACAUCCUAUGAUCUUGGAAUUUCUCACAAAUUUCGAAUGUUGAUGUGGGUUGAUAUACAAUUGGGAAGCCCUUCUAUCCAAGCACCUUGCUGCUCGAGGUCGUUGGUGAACACCACCGCUGAUACUACUUCGAAUUUCUUGUUGCUCCUGUUGACCCUCCCUCGCUGUAUCCGGGCUUUGCUAUGGCAGUUAUUCUGAACCUCCAAAACUCCAAGGCCCAAUUGAACUCCUCGCUCAUAUACUGAGUCUUGGACAAUCAAGCUGUCCAAUCAAUAUUAAGUUGCAGGGAAUAAGUUCUACCGCACAAGCAACCAAGUGCAACUUCUAGGUCUCUAUGACAAGGCCACCACCCUGUCAAGAAUCCUUCACAAUUCGCUCAGUGCCACGGGUUUUGUGACUAUACCACAAGCAAACACUAGUCCUAUUUCAAUCUACUGAGCAGUAAUGAUACUGAAGGCUUCUCCGUGCUUCCAACCUCACAUCUCUGUGCUACCAAUCUCCUAUUUGUAUUCCAAUCUGAAUGAUAAUUGUAAUCCACCCAACAAAACCAACACUCUACAAAGCUGUUAUGUGUAACGCCAAGCAACUAUGUCAACUGCACAACUACAGUCCACAUAGAAGGUGUUCUAAGUUGUUCUUUUAAAUUCUACUUAUAACAACGAUUGCUUUUAUCCUUGGAUCAAAUUCAUGUCUUGGUACAUUUUCGUUGUUGUUGCGAUAAUCAAGGGCUGAAUCCUUGCUACAUUGAACCAAGAAUGGAUGUAGAGAGCGACAGUUGCUGUACCAACUGGGUUGAAGAAUAUUACAGCGACAUGUCAUCUCGUUCAAUUCAAUUGGGGUACAACACUUUUCUGUCUCAACUUUUAUAUCCAC